This 1057-nucleotide long non-coding RNA is filed under the name Ixodes scapularis (black-legged tick). RNAcentral's name for it is "uncharacterized LOC115330093, transcript variant X5". The record is from RNAcentral. Lineage: Eukaryota; Metazoa; Arthropoda; Arachnida; Ixodida; Ixodidae.
CAAGAAGGAUUUCCCCACGCCUCGUCCAAGCACCAUCCAGUCUGCUGCUGUAACCUACAGGGCAGCACGGUCAAGAAAGAUUUCCCCACGCCUCGGCCAAGCACCAUCCAGUCUGCCGCUGGCAGCACGGUCAAGAAGGAUUUCCCCACGCCUCGUCCAAGCACCAUCCAGUCUGCCGCUGUAAGCUACAGGGCAGCACGGUCAAGAAGGAUUUCCCCACGCCUCGGCCAAGCACCAUCCAGUCUGCCGCUGGCAGCACGGUCAAGAAGGAUUUCCCCACGCCUCGUCCAAGCACCAUCCAGUCUGCCGCUGUAAGCUACAGGGCAGCACGGUCAAGAAGGAUUUCCCCACGCCUCGUCCAAGCACCAUCCAGUCUGCUGCUGUAACCUACAGGGCAGCACGGUCAAGAAAGAUUUCCCCACGCCUCGGCCAAGCACCAUCCAGUCUGCCGCUGGCAGCACGGUCAAGAAGGAUUUCCCCACGCCUCGUCCAAGCACCAUCCAGUCUGCCGCUGUAAGCUACAGGGCAGCACGGUCAAGAAGGAUUUCCCCACGCCUCGGCCAAGCACCAUCCAGUCUGCCGCUGGCAGCACGGUCAAGAAGGAUUUCCCCACGCCUCGUCCAAGCACCAUCCAGUCUGCCGCUGUAAGCUACAGGGCAGCACGGUCAAGAAGGAUUUCCCCACGCCUCGGCCAAGCACCAUCCAGUCUGCUGCUGUAACCUACAGGGCAGCGCAGUCAAGAAGGAUUUCCCCACGCCUCGUCCAAGCACCAUCCAGUCUGCCGCUGGCAGCACGGUCAAGAAGGAUUUCCCCACGCCUCGGCCAAGCACCAUCCAGUCUGCCGCUGUAAGCUAAGGGCAGCACGGUCAAGAAGGAUUUCCCCAUGCCUCGUCGAAGCACCAUCCAGUCUGCCACUGUGAGCUACAGACGGACACUCCCUCCAAGGUCUGACUAGGACAUGGGCCAGACAACAGCAAGACAGCUGCUAAAUAUAUGGCAGAAGAGAUUGGUCCCAUUCUGCACAAAAAGCUUGUUCAUAACAGAACCUUUUUGUGCA